GAUGAAGAACGUAGCGAAAUGCGAUAAGUAAUGUGAAUUGCAGAAUUCAGUGAAUCAUCGAAUCUUUGAACGCACAUUGCGCCCGCCAGUAUUCUGGCGGGCAUGCCUGUUCGAGCGUCAUUACAACCCUCAGGCCCCCGGGCCUGGCGUUGGGGAUCGGCGGAGCCCCCCGUGGGCACACGCCGUCCCCCAAAUGCAGUGGCGGUCCCGCCGCAGCUUCCAUCGCGUAGUAGCUAACACCUCGCGACUGGAGAGAGGCGCGGCCACGCCGUAAAACACCCAACUCUUCUGAAGUUGACCUCGAAUCAGGUAGGAAUACCCGCUGAACUUAAGCAUAUCAAUAAGCGGAGGA
This 352-nucleotide unclassified non-coding RNA is filed under the name soil metagenome. RNAcentral's name for it is "partial contains 5.8S ribosomal RNA, internal transcribed spacer 2, and large subunit ribosomal RNA". The stretch from base 1 to 120 matches the Rfam family "5.8S ribosomal RNA", at positions 35 to 154 of the family's 154-position model. The record is from RNAcentral.